GAUGAACGCUGGCGGCGUGCCUAAUACAUGCAAGUCGAGCGAACAGACGAGGAGCUUGCUCCUCUGACGUUAGCGGCGGACGGGUGAGUAACACGUGGAUAACCUACCUAUAAGACUGGGAUAACUUCGGGAAACAGGAGCUAAUACCGGAUAAUAUAUUGAACCGCAUGGUUCAAUAGUGAAAGACGGUUUUGCUGUCACUUAUAGAUGGAUCCGCGCCGCAUUAGCUAGUCGGUAAGGUAACGGCUUACCAAGGCAACGAUGCGUAGCCGACCUGAGAGGGUGAUCGGCCACACUGGAACUGAGACACGGUCCAGACUCCUACGGGAGGCAGCAGUAGGGAAUCUUCCGCAAUGGGCGAAAGCCUGACGGAGCAACGCCGCGUGAGUGAUGAAGGUCUUCGGAUCGUAAAACUCUGUUAUUAGGGAAGAACAAAUGUGUAAGUAACUAUGCACGUCUUGACGGUACCUAAUCAGAAAGCCACGGCUAACUACGUG
This 497-nucleotide ribosomal RNA is filed under the name uncultured bacterium. RNAcentral's name for it is "partial 16S ribosomal RNA". It matches the Rfam family "Bacterial small subunit ribosomal RNA", at positions 28 to 507 of the family's 1533-position model. The record is from RNAcentral.